Molecule: long non-coding RNA, 1714 nt
Organism: Mesocricetus auratus (golden hamster)
Lineage: Eukaryota; Metazoa; Chordata; Mammalia; Rodentia; Cricetidae
Exons: 4
Source: RefSeq, a predicted model, not a curated record
AGAGAAAGUCCAGUGGAGAGGCAAUGAGGACUAGAAGGAAGAUAUUAACAAUUUUACGGGAAGUAUGAGGCCACAAAAAGAAGACAGUUUAUUAUUCAGAUAAACUGGGUCUGGCGUGUCAGUGAAUAUCCAUGAGGGGGGAGUGACUGACUCUUCGCAGACGAUGUCUGGAAGCCGCAGAUGGAAAUUUUCAGCUUUAUGAAAUCACACGCAUACUCUGAGCUUCUGCUUUCAUGGUCCAGAUAGACAUGCAAGAAUCAGCCCGGUUCUCCAUCCUGGGUUUGUCCCUCCUGCACAUCGUUUCUAUUAAGGUUGAAAACUGUUUCAAUAAUGGUUCUUCAGAAACACAGGAAUACAAACAUGAACAAAGACUAUUUCCACAUUCUUUGCAUUCUGUGUGGGAGUGCUUCCAGACCAUAGACUUGCUAACUACCUGCUGUCUGACAAAUUUUCCAUUUGUGUUUUCAUUUUUCCAUUAUUCCAUCAAGCAGAGAGUGGAGAACUACUUCUCCAGUGCAAGUAAGCACUCCAGCAGCAGAUGGCAGCUUACACUGUGGAAGCCAUGGGAAAUGAAAGAUAAUUAAAAAUAAAAAGCACAGAGAAUAUAUAAACUGUCAUGCACCCAGUGAACUAAAAUUAUCAACUAUUAAUAUCAAUGAAAAUAACUGUUUUAGUUCCUGUUGACACUGACACUGUUAGAUUUAUGAACUUAGAACAUGGCUGGAAUUUUUUUACUCUAUUUAAAAUAAGUUGGGGAAGAGUAUAUUGGCAAUUUGAGUUCUUUAUUAUGCAGGGAAGUAUUAAAGAGGAAAAAAUAUGCAUUAUGUGAUUUAAAGGUUUUUCUUUUUUAUUAAAGAAGGGUGACGUUUUAUUUAAAUUUCCAUUACUUGUCACAGUUUGGAAUCUACUUAGGAUACAUACUAAUAAUUGCAUAAUUAUGAGGUUGUGUUUACACAAAACCAAGGUAUAAUAUAUUCCAACAUUAUGGGAGAUUAGGAACAUUUGGAUACAACUCAACUGAGAAACAUAUCACCUUUAGUUCAAAAUUUAAAAUGAUUUUUUGCUGAGGUUUUUCUCUUUCAACUUUUAACUUCUCACAUCUGCCAGACAGAGCAAAAGAAAUGUCUUAGUACCCUUGAGCUUACAGAAAGUUAGCAUAAAUGAUGAGCGUGUCUUAGGACUGUUUGAUAGCAGGUAGUUUAAACUGUAAAAGUUUGAUAUUAUUUGUGUCAUAAGCGACAUAGCCCCAAGUGAAGUUGAGUUUAUGAACCAUAAUAGAAACUGAAAGUAGGUAGUGUUAGCUGGCUUACAGCAAUAUUCUUCUGAUGGAGACAAUAGUUCAAUAUCAUGUGAAAGCUUAAUGAAAGAAAAUGCUUUGCCUUCCACUAAAAUAUAUGACAAUACUGGAAAGUAAUAGUAUUAAAUUACUUGAACUACAAUAGCAGCAUUGUAUGUGUAAAUGUGUGCAUGAAAUCUAUGUCAAUGUGUUUAAAUAAAUAGAAGUUAGAAUAAACCCAAGAGACUUUUAUUGAACUAAAUUAGAACAGCUGAUAGCAGCACAUGAUAGUAUUAUCAGUGUAAAUAAGUAACAAUUCAAGGCAUUUUCAUGUUCAUACAUAUAAUAUAAAGUUUUGAUUUACAUGAAAUUUCUCUGUGAAGAAAAUAUAGUUUAACCAUUUGUUCUUAUGCACAAAAAUGUUUCCACAAUAGACAA